Telopea speciosissima is the source of this 506-nucleotide long non-coding RNA. RefSeq lists it as uncharacterized. The record is from RefSeq and is a predicted model, not a curated record. The transcript has 2 exons. NCBI's taxonomy places the organism in Eukaryota, Viridiplantae, Streptophyta, Magnoliopsida, Proteales, Proteaceae.
UUGCAGCUGUGGAAGCUAGUUGGUUGAUGUGAGAUGUGAGUGGAUCCAUAGUAGCAAGGACAUGCGGUCUUCCUCAGAGUCACUCUUUAUAUAUGGAGGUUUUCUUUCAAAGUGAUUAACAAGGGCUCUCGACUUGGGUGCAUUGGACAUAAUUUUUACUUAAUGAAGGAAAGAAAAUGGCCCAACCUUCAAAGGGAUCCGUGUUCUUUCUUUAUGUGUGAAAGCUGAUACUUACGCAUUCUGAGUCAUCACAAACUGCAAAUUGUGUUGCUUGGGUAGGCGAUGUGGACCAUGUACAUUAAAUGAGGUUAGGAUUUGAAACUACAUCAGAAAAUACACUAGGUAGACAACCUUGUCCCCUGAAACAUUUCCCAGAAUUAAGCCCGCCCUUUUCUUCCUCUGAUUUUGCUAAUCAGAAAGUCUUAACCAUACUCAAUAGUAUAGGACAUGUACCCUGUGUUAAAAUGAGGCAGCUCAAUAUCCUUAUCAGUUAACCUGUCAGUUCU